GUGAAAGAGACGGAUAUGUGUUCUUUUGUCAAAGAUGAAUCUGUGAAUAAUGCUAAAGAUGAGAUACCCGGUCUGGGUAUUGUGAAAGAGGAGAAACGUGUUGUGAAAGAGGAGAAACCUGAUGUCGGUGUUGUGAAAGAGGAGAAACCUGAUAUCGGUGUCGUGAAGGAGGAGAAACCUGAUAUCGGUGUCGUGAAGGAGGAGAAACCUUAUCUGGCUGCUGUGAAGAAGGAAAUUGUGAAUAUCGAUGAUGAUUUUCCAGACGAUCUUACACAGAUCCAUUACAGCCCCUAUCUCAACCCUCGUCCCAUCACUUGUAU
Molecule: long non-coding RNA, 320 nt
Filed under: Zostera marina
Lineage: Eukaryota; Viridiplantae; Streptophyta; Magnoliopsida; Alismatales; Zosteraceae
Description: long non-coding RNA (ZMAR_LNC001821)
Source: RNAcentral